UGCGGUUUAAUCUAAUUACACACAGAGAAUCUCACCAGCAGCGACGGUAGGAUGAAGGUCAGAUUGAAGGUUUUACCUGACGAACCGAGAGGUGGUGCAUGGCCGUCGUCAGUUCGUGCCGUAAGGUGUUGCGUUAAGUCGUAUAACGAACAAGACCCAUGCCUAUAUUUGCUAACGUGUUCUAUGGAAUGAGCGAGCACAAUAUGGGGACUGCCUUGGAAACGAGGAGGAAGGUGUGGGCAACGAUAGGUCUGUAUGCCCCGAAUCUGCUGGGCUACACGCGCGCAACAAUGGUAGGGACAAUGGGAUACAACUCCGAAAGGAGAAGUUAAGCCUCAAAACCCUAUCUUAGUUUAAAUUGAGGGCUGUAAUUCGCUCUCAUGACAAUGGAAUCCCUAGUAAUCGGGUGUCAACAGCGCCCGGUGAACACGUCCACGAGCCUUGCACACACUGCCCGUCAUCCCAACCGAGCAGGGCUUUGGUGAGGAUUAUUUUUCUUGAAUAAUUCGAACCUGAGUUCAGUGAGGCGGGGCAAGUCGUCACAAGGUAUCCGUAGGGGAACCUGCGGAUG
RNAcentral lists this ribosomal RNA (571 nucleotides) under marine metagenome. Its description in RNAcentral is "bacterial SSU rRNA". It matches the Rfam family "Archaeal small subunit ribosomal RNA", at positions 896 to 1467 of the family's 1478-position model. The record is from RNAcentral.